GAUGAACGCUGGCGGCGUGCCUAAUACAUGCAAGUCGAGCGAACGGACGAGAAGCUUGCUCCUCUGACGUUAGCGGCGGACGGGUGAGUAACACGUGGAUAACCUACCUAUAAGACUGGGAUAACUUCGGGAAACCGGAGCUAAUACCGGAUGAUAUUUUGAACCGCAUGGUUCAAUAGUGAAAGACGGUCUUGCUGUCACUUAUAGAUGGAUCCGCGCUGCAUUAGCUAGUUGGUAAGGUAACGGCUUACCAAGGUAACGAUGCGUAGCCGACCUGAGAGGGUGAUCGGCCACACUGGAACUGAGACACGGUCCAGACUCCUACGGGAGGCAGCAGUAGGGAAUCUUCCGCAAUGGGCGAAAGCCUGACGGAGCAACGCCGCGUGAGUGAUGAAGGUCUUCGGAUCGUAAAACUCUGUUAUUAGGGAAGAACAAAUGUGUAAGUAACUAUGCACGUCUUGACGGUACCUAAUCAGAAAGCCACGGCUAACUACGUG
Molecule: ribosomal RNA, 497 nt
Filed under: uncultured bacterium
Lineage: Bacteria
Description: partial 16S ribosomal RNA
Rfam family: Bacterial small subunit ribosomal RNA
Source: RNAcentral